ACAGAGCAAUCUGUGUGACUGCGUACCUUUUGUAUAAUGGGUCAGCGACUUAUAUUCUGUAGCAAGGUUAACCGAAUAGGGGAGCCGAAGGGAAACCGAGUCUUAACUGGGCGUUAAGUUGCAGGGUAUAGACCCGAAACCCGGUGAUCUAGCCAUGGGCAGGUUGAAGGUUGGGUAACACUAACUGGAGGACCGAACCGACUAAUGUUGAAAAAUUAGCGGAUGACUUGUGGCUGGGGGUGAAAGGCCAAUCAAACCGGGAGAUAGCUGGUUCUCCCCGAAAGCUAUUUAGGUAGCGCCUCGUGAAUUCAUCUCCGGGGGUAGAGCACUGUUUCGGCAAGGGGGUCAUCCCGACUUACCAACCCGAUGCAAACUGCGAAUACCGGAGAAUGUUAUCACGGGAGACACACGGCGGGUGCUAACGUCCGUCGUGAAGAGGGAAACAACCCAGACCGCCAGCUAAGGUCCCAAAGUCAUGGUUAAGUGGGAAACGAUGUGGGAAGGCCCAGACAGCCAGGAUGUUGGCUUAGAAGCAGCCAUCAUUUAAAGAAAGCGUAAUAGCUCACUGGUCGAGUCGGCCUGCGCGGAAGAUGUAACGGGGCUAAACCAUGCACCGAAGCUGCGGCAGCGACGCUGAUGCGUUGUUGGGUAGGGGAGCGUUCUGUAAGCCUGUGAAGGUGUGCUGUGAGGCAUGCUGGAGGUAUCAGAAGUGCGAAUGCUGACAUAAGUAACGAUAAAGCGGGUGAAAAGCCCGCUCGCCGGAAGACCAAGGGUUCCUGUCCAACGUUAAUCGGGGCAGGGUGAGUCGACCCCUAAGGCGAGGCCGAAAGGCGUAGUCGAUGGGAAACAGGUUAAUAUUCCUGUACUUGGUGUUACUGCGAAGGGGGGACGGAGAAGGCUAUGUUGGCCGGGCGACGGUUGUCCCGGUUUAAGCGUGUAGGCUGGUUUUCCAGGCAAAUCCGGAAAACUAAGGCUGAGGCGUGAUGACGAGGCACUACGGUGCUGAAGCAACAAAUGCCCUGCUUCCAGGAAAAGCCUCUAAGCAUCAGGUAACAUCAAAUCGUACCCCAAACCGACACAGGUGGUCAGGUAGAGAAUACCAAGGCGCUUGAGAGAACUCGGGUGAAGGAACUAGGCAAAAUGGUGCCGUAACUUCGGGAGAAGGCACGCUGAUAUGUAGGUGAAGUCCCUCGCGGAUGGAGCUGAAAUCAGUCGAAGAUACCAGCUGGCUGCAACUGUUUAUUAAAAACACAGCACUGUGCAAACACGAAAGUGGACGUAUACGGUGUGACGCCUGCCCGGUGCCGGAAGGUUAAUUGAUGGGGUCAGCGCAAGCGAAGCUCUUGAUCGAAGCCCCGGUAAACGGCGGCCGUAACUAUAACGGUCCUAAGGUAGCGAAAUUCCUUGUCGGGUAAGUUCCGACCUGCACGAAUGGCGUAAUGAUGGCCAGGCUGUCUCCACCCGAGACUCAGUGAAAUUGAACUCGCUGUGAAGAUGCAGUGUACCCGCGGCAAGACGGAAAGACCCCGUGAACCUUUACUAUAGCUUGACACUGAACAUUGAGCCUUGAUGUGUAGGAUAGGUGGGAGGCUUUGAAGUGUGGACGCCAGUCUGCAUGGAGCCGACCUUGAAAUACCACCCUUUAAUGUUUGAUGUUCUAACGUUGACCCGUAAUCCGGGUUGCGGACAGUGUCUGGUGGGUAGUUUGACUGGGGCGGUCUCCUCCUAAAGAGUAACGGAGGAGCACGAAGGUUGGCUAAUCCUGGUCGGACAUCAGGAGGUUAGUGCAAUGGCAUAAGCCAGCUUGACUGCGAGCGUGACGGCGCGAGCAGGUGCGAAAGCAGGUCAUAGUGAUCCGGUGGUUCUGAAUGGAAGGGCCAUCGCUCAACGGAUAAAAGGUACUCCGGGGAUAACAGGCUGAUACCGCCCAAGAGUUCAUAUCGACGGCGGUGUUUGGCACCUCGAUGUCGGCUCAUCACAUCCUGGGGCUGAAGUAGGUCCCAAGGGUAUGGCUGUUCGCCAUUUAAAGUGGUACGCGAGCUGGGUUUAGAACGUCGUGAGACAGUUCGGUCCCUAUCUGCCGUGGGCGCUGGAGAACUGAGGGGGGCUGCUCCUAGUACGAGAGGACCGGAGUGGACGCAUCACUGGUGUUCGGGUUGUCAUGCCAAUGGCACUGCCCGGUAGCUAAAUGCGGAAGAGAUAAGUGCUGAAAGCAUCUAAGCACGAAACUUGCCCCGAGAUGAGUUCUCCCUGACUCCUUGAGAGUCCUGAAGGAACGUUGAAG
Molecule: ribosomal RNA, 2284 nt
Filed under: Escherichia coli
Lineage: Bacteria; Pseudomonadati; Pseudomonadota; Gammaproteobacteria; Enterobacterales; Enterobacteriaceae
Description: partial 23S ribosomal RNA
Rfam family: Bacterial large subunit ribosomal RNA
Source: RNAcentral